Molecule: ribosomal RNA, 497 nt
Filed under: uncultured bacterium
Lineage: Bacteria
Description: bacterial SSU rRNA
Rfam family: Bacterial small subunit ribosomal RNA
Source: RNAcentral
AAUGGGCGAAAGCCUGAUCCAGCAAUGCCGCGUGGGUGAAGAAGGUCUUCGGAUUGUAAAGCCCUUUCGACGGGGACGAUGAUGACGGUACCCGUAGAAGAAGCCCCGGCUAACUUCGUGCCAGCAGCCGCGGUAAUACGAAGGGGGCUAGCGUUACUCGGAUUGACUGGGCGUAAAGGGCGCGUAGGCGGCUUGCACAGUCAGACGUGAAAUUCCUGGGCUCAACCUGGGGGCUGCGUUUGAUACGUAUGGGCUUGAGUUCGGAAGAGGGUCGUGGAAUUCCCAGUGUAGAGGUGAAAUUCGUAGAUAUUGGGAAGAACACCGGUGGCGAAGGCGGCGACCUGGUCCGAUACUGACGCUGAGGCGCGAAAGCGUGGGGAGCAAACAGGAUUAGAUACCCUGGUAGUCCACGCUGUAAACGAUGUGCGCUGGAUGUUGGGUGACAUAGUCACUCAGUGUCGUAGCUAACGUGAUAAGCGCACCGCCUGGGGAGUACG